UACGAAGGGGGCUAGCGUUGUUCGGAAUUACUGGGCGUAAAGCGAACGUAGGCGGUGUUCCAUGUCAGAGGUGAAAGCCUGGGGCUCAACUCCAGAAUUGCCUUUGAAACGGGGACGCUUGAGUCCGAGAGAGGAUGGCGGAAUUCCUAGUGUAGAGGUGAAAUUCGUAGAUAUUAGGAAGAACACCGGUGGCGAAGGCGGCCAUCUGGCUCGGUACUGACGCUCAGGUUCGAAAGCGUGGGGAGCAAAC
RNAcentral lists this ribosomal RNA (250 nucleotides) under uncultured bacterium. RNAcentral describes it as "partial 16S ribosomal RNA". It matches the Rfam family "Bacterial small subunit ribosomal RNA", at positions 524 to 773 of the family's 1533-position model. The record is from RNAcentral.